UACGAAGGGGGCUAGCGUUGUUCGGAAUCACUGGGCGUAAAGCGCACGCAGGCGGAUCGUUAAGUCGGGGGUGAAAUCCCGAGGCUCAACCUCGGAACUGCCUUCGAUACUGGCGAUCUUUGAGUCCGGGAGAGGUGAGUGGAACUCCGAGUGUAGAGGUGAAAUUCGUAGAUAUUCGGAAGAACACCAGUGGCGAAGGCGGCUCACUGGCCCGGUACUGACGCUCAGGUGCGAAAGCGUGGGGA
Molecule: ribosomal RNA, 245 nt
Filed under: uncultured Bauldia sp.
Lineage: Bacteria; Pseudomonadati; Pseudomonadota; Alphaproteobacteria; Hyphomicrobiales; Kaistiaceae
Description: partial 16S ribosomal RNA
Rfam family: Bacterial small subunit ribosomal RNA
Source: RNAcentral